GAUGAACGCUGGCGGCGUGCCUAAUACAUGCAAGUCGAGCGAAUGGAUUAAGAGCUUGCUCUUAUGAAGUUAGCGGCGGACGGGUGAGUAACACGUGGGUAACCUGCCCAUAAGACUGGGAUAACUCCGGGAAACCGGGGCUAAUACCGGAUAACAUUUUGAACCGCAUGGUUCGAAAUUGAAAGGCGGCUUCGGCUGUCACUUAUGGAUGGACCCGCGUCGCAUUAGCUAGUUGGUGAGGUAACGGCUCACCAAGGCAACGAUGCGUAGCCGACCCGAGAGGGUGAUCGGCCACACUGGGACUGGGACACGGCCCAGACUCCUACGGGAGGCAGCAGUAGGGAAUCUUCCGCAAUGGACGAAAGUCUGACGGAGCAACGCCGCGUGAGUGAUGAAGGCUUUCGAGUCGUAAAACUCUGUUGUUAGGGAAGAACAAGUGCUAGUUGAAUAAGCUGGCACCUUGACGGUACCUAACCAGAAAGCCACGGCUAACUACGUGCCAGCCGCCGCAGUAA
Molecule: ribosomal RNA, 515 nt
Filed under: uncultured bacterium
Lineage: Bacteria
Description: partial 16S ribosomal RNA
Rfam family: Bacterial small subunit ribosomal RNA
Source: RNAcentral